AGAGUUUGAUCAUGGCUCAGGAUGAACGCUAGCGGCAGGCUUAAUACAUGCAAGUCGUGGGGCAGCAGGGGUGUAGCAAUACACUCGCUGGCGACCGGCAAACGGGUGCGGAACACGUACGCAAUCUACCCAAAACUGGUGAAUAGCCCUCCGAAAGGAGGAUUAAUACACCGUAACCUAUUGAAGUGGCAUCACUUUAUUAGUAUAGCUCCGGCGGUUUUGGAUGAGCGUGCGGCUGAUUAGGUAGUUGGCGGGGUAACGGCCCACCAAGCCUGCGAUCAGUAACUGGUGUGAGAGCACGACCAGUCACACGGGCACUGAGACACGGGCCCGACUCCUACGGGAGGCAGCAGUAAGGAAUAUUGGUCAAUGGACGCAAGUCUGAACCAGCCAUGCCGCGUGGAGGAUGAAGGCCCUCUGGGUUGUAAACUUCUUUUAUAGGGGACGAAACCCUGGUAUUCUUACCAGAUUGACGGUACCCUAGGAAUAAGCACCGGCUAACUCCGUGCCAGCCGCCGCGGUAAUAC
Molecule: ribosomal RNA, 527 nt
Filed under: uncultured bacterium
Lineage: Bacteria
Description: bacterial SSU rRNA
Rfam family: Bacterial small subunit ribosomal RNA
Source: RNAcentral